UUUCCCCGAAACCACUGUUUUCUAAGAGGUGACCCAGACACAGGAAGAGGGAGGGAGAGGGCAGGGCCAUAAAGCACUUGCUAACAGCCCACGGUCCAGGGCCGAGACCAGAAGAGCCUCUCCCUUCCCAAGCGUGCCCGGCACCCCGAGAAGAUGGUGGUGGAGAACGUGAUCAUCUUCUCUGCGGCUGUCCCGGAACUAACUGUGACCUGUGCGAUCGGGGGCCCGAUCGCCUGGGCCGUGGUGGCCAUAGCUGGUGUGGCCGUCAUUAUGGGGAUCACCUACUGCCUAGUAAAGGAGAUGAAAGUGAAGAAGGUAUGAAAGCCACCCCCACCCCCGGGAGGGGCAGCUCCCACCUGCACGGAGGCUGUGGGCCACGCACCUCACACCUCUGCAACUGAGUAUGGCCAUGCCAUCUCCUGAACACAAUAAAAACCACUGAGCACA
Tupaia belangeri chinensis (Chinese tree shrew) is the source of this 447-nucleotide long non-coding RNA. RefSeq lists it as uncharacterized. The record is from RefSeq and is a predicted model, not a curated record. Lineage: Eukaryota; Metazoa; Chordata; Mammalia; Scandentia; Tupaiidae. The transcript is spliced from 4 exons.